Molecule: transfer RNA, 75 nt
Filed under: Aeromonas phage phiWae14
Description: tRNA-Asp
Rfam family: tRNA
About the family: Transfer RNA (tRNA) molecules are approximately 80 nucleotides in length.
Source: RNAcentral
GGUGCAUUAGUAUAAUGGCUAUUAUUCGUGACUGUCUAUCACAGGAUACGGGUUCGAUUCCCGUAUGUACCGCCA